Molecule: ribosomal RNA, 365 nt
Filed under: Blastocystis sp. subtype 3
Lineage: Eukaryota; Bigyra; Opalinata; Blastocystidae
Description: SSU rRNA
Rfam family: Eukaryotic small subunit ribosomal RNA
Source: RNAcentral
CGUUGUUGCAGUUAAAAAGCUCGUAGUUGAAAUGAAGGGUAGUUGUGUAAUGAAUACAUUCGUGUAUUUUGUUAUUCUACUACCCUCCUUCUAAAUUCGAUAUAUGAGUAUUAAUUUACUUGUAUAUGGUUUUAGACUUUUACUGUGAGAAAAUUAGAGUGUUCAAAGCAGGCAUUUGCUUGAAUAUAUUAGCAUGGAAUAAUCAUGUAUGAUUUUCAUGAUGUAUUUGAUUGGUUUGGUUCAUGAGAAUAAGAUUAAAAGGGACAGUUGGGGGUAUUCAUAUUCAAUAGUCAGAGGUGAAAUUCUCGGAUUUAUGGAAGAUGAACAAGUGCGAAAGCAUUUACCAAGGAUGUUUUCAUUAAUCA